Long non-coding RNA from Coregonus clupeaformis (lake whitefish), 815 nucleotides. RefSeq lists it as uncharacterized. Lineage: Eukaryota; Metazoa; Chordata; Actinopteri; Salmoniformes; Salmonidae. The transcript has 4 exons. The record is from RefSeq and is a predicted model, not a curated record.
UCUUAAGAUAGCUAGGUGGGACAACCACAUAUCACAGGCAUAGAAAGUAUUCCUCAAUAAAGUAGCUAUCAGCAGAGUCAGAGCUAGAAAGAGGGGGGCCGGUUAAGUGCAAGUGCUGAUUCAGUUAUAUAUUUUUAUGUCCGCCUGUUUUAACUGAAUAGCUAAAGCAACUCCAUGCUUAUUAACACUUUAACCAAAUGAACAUGAUACAACAAAUCCUGGAAUAUAUUCCUCACUAUCACCUAUUCAAAUAUUUAAAAAAAAAUUUGCCGGGAGUUUGUGUCACUGAGGGCGCGCCCCAGCUCCGCCGCGGGUGGGUUGGGAAAUUGCUGGAACAUUCCGUUCAGCUUCAUCAACAUCCAGCACCAGCCAACAUAAGCUAGAAUAGGGAUAUUUGCUCUCACCCCCCUCUGCUCCUAAGGAGGCCAGUAUAAAUACAGGGAGCUGGAGAAAGCGAUAAAGACAAGACAAACACUUACAGACUAAGAACAAUGUGGUUGCCCCUGCUACUGUGCCAGCUUGGCAUGAUUUUGCAGAACGAGGCCCAGACACCCAGCACUUUUUGCAACACACACUCAACAUUCAGACCACCAGUGAACUCUGACAUCACAGUGACCUGUGGUACUAAGGUUAUGGAGAUGAGUAUCUUGUUAUGCCCAGUCUACUUUGGUGGAUACAACGAAACCCUGAUGGCCCUCAAUGCCCAGUUCAUCCUCCCAGAGUGCAAUGGAAUGCCUGACUGGAACGUUGACCCUCCGAUCCUAAAAUUCAAUCUGUCAAUAACUGCUGAUGCUGUGGCUGUCUGCUCCAACACA